UACGGAGGGUGCAAGCGUUAUUCGGAUUUAUUGGGCGUAAAGGGCGUGUAGGCGGUCUGAUAAGUCAGGUGUGAAAGCCCCUGGCUCACCCAGGGAAGGGCACUUGAAACUAUCAGACUUGAGUACGGGAGGGGGAAGUGGAAUUCCUGGUGUAGAGGUGAAAUUCGUAGAUAUCAGGAGGAAUACCGGUGGCGAAGGCGACUUCCUGGACCGAUACUGACGCUGAGACGCGAAAGCGUGGGGAGCAAACAGG
Molecule: ribosomal RNA, 253 nt
Filed under: uncultured bacterium
Lineage: Bacteria
Description: partial 16S ribosomal RNA
Rfam family: Bacterial small subunit ribosomal RNA
Source: RNAcentral